CUUUAAUGCAAUGAAAAUAUGCAUUAAAGUCUAUUAGGCAAAGAUACACAAGUUUACAUCUGAGACCAAAAAAGAAAGCAAGUUUCUUAACCCAAGCAACCAAGCCUGGUAACAAGCCCAUAGUCCCAUCCAGCCAAACCCUAGACCAAUACCACCCAAACGAAAUUCAGGAUCAACAUCCAAAAAAGCACUGCCAUCGGAAGAAAAAGAGAUCUUCUGCCAAUGCCUCAACUUGCCAAAGCAAGAUAAGCAACAGUAAGAGGAUCACAACUUUAAUCUUGCAAAUAAAAUCCACCGCCUCUGAUAGGUAACACGCGAACACCAACUUAGGAGAAAGAGGAAGCAGGGGCUAUGACAGUUCAGUCUUGAUCUAGUCACGGAGAGCCAGCCAACCAAAUUUUAACACCAAAUUUUCAAUCCACGAGAAGCCAUCCUUGAUUCUUUCUCCUUAAUUGAAAGACAUAGCAAUUGACACAACGGUAUAAACCAGAUCGUCUCUAUUCCAUCCUCACCUGGAAAAGUUCAAGAUAUGAAAAAAAAAAAUAAUAAAAAAAAAAAUAAC
This 562-nucleotide unclassified non-coding RNA is filed under the name Hevea brasiliensis (rubber tree). The record is from RNAcentral. Lineage: Eukaryota; Viridiplantae; Streptophyta; Magnoliopsida; Malpighiales; Euphorbiaceae.